RNAcentral lists this ribosomal RNA (370 nucleotides) under uncultured bacterium. RNAcentral describes it as "bacterial SSU rRNA". It matches the Rfam family "Bacterial small subunit ribosomal RNA", at positions 28 to 412 of the family's 1533-position model. The record is from RNAcentral.
GAUGAACGCUAGCGGCAGGCCUAAUACAUGCAAGACGAGGGGUUAGCAAUAACACCGUCGCACGGGUGCGUAACGCGUAUGCAACCUACCUAUCACAGGGGGAUAGCCUUUGGAAACAGGGAUUAAUACCGCAUAAUACUAUUUAGUGGCAUUAUUAGAUAGUUAAAGAUUUAAUCGGUGAUAUAUGGGCAUGCGUCUGAUUAGUUAGAUGGUGAGGUAACGGCUCACCAUGACGAUGAUCAGUAGGGGCGUCAGAGCGUGGUCCCCCACACUGGCACUGAGAUACGGGCCAGACUCCUACGGGAGCAGCAGUAGGGAAUAUUGGGCAAUGGAUGCAAGUCUGACCCAGCCAUGCCGCGUGCAGGAAGAA